Apis dorsata (giant honeybee) is the source of this 1128-nucleotide long non-coding RNA. RefSeq lists it as uncharacterized. NCBI's taxonomy places the organism in Eukaryota, Metazoa, Arthropoda, Insecta, Hymenoptera, Apidae. The record is from RefSeq and is a predicted model, not a curated record. The transcript is spliced from 2 exons.
AUUGUGCAUUGGAAUGAUGGUCGACGGGCAGGAUGUCAAAACUGUUUUAUCGUCCUGAGAAAUCUGAUUCAACUUGUUGUUCUCGUGCUCCUUCUUCGAGACCAGUCCCGGUUGAUCGGCGAGCGCGGUUUUCAUUCUCUGAAUGUUAUUCGAGUAAUCCGUCCCCGUGUUCGAGGUCGCUAUGAUAGUUUGCGUGGGCGCGACCGCGUUUUUCGGGGACUGAAGUGCAGGCACGUCGCAACAUCUCGGCGGAUUGUGCCUGGGCGGUGUUCUGUCCACGUAGGUUAACUCGUUCUCGAAGUUCUCGACCCUGGACAGAGUGGCGGGCAAAGGUUCGGCGGGCAUGAAUUGAUUGGAAAUUUGAGAUUUUGGACGAUUAGAGUUGAGGCGCGCGUUACGGGGCGUCAUGGGCGCUAUGGGAGGUGGUUGAGCCUCGGACGUCGUCCUCGAGGCGGCUUGAAAUUCCUGGAACGACUCCUCCUCGUCCUCGGAGAACAGAUUGGGAUUGAAGGUAGGAUCCGGACCUGAGGAGCAAGCGAAUCGAUUGAGUUUCGAGGUCGACGAACUUCUCGACGCAACCGUUACAACUUGAGUCUCUAACUUGAGUAUAAAUGUAAUUUGUCUUCGAAAGAGAGAUUUUAUUUUCUCGACGACGUUGAACGAUCCUUGGGAACGAAGUUAGCCGGAAAGUUCCCCUUUUGGGCGCAAGCUUCAAAUUGCAACGGCUGCAUUUCUUUUUUUUUUUUUUUUCCGUUCGUGAUCGCGGAAAUAUACCUGCAGGCACGUCAUCCCGUAAUUCCGUCAUCACCAGAGUCAUUUGUCGCGGUUGCAAAUGCAACAACGAUGUUCGAUAAGUAACCUGACCCAAGUUGGCGGGCACCGAAUCAGCCAGCCCGUGAAACUUGAAUUUCGUGCCCCAGAUAUUAGACGUUACUUCGACCAAUCUCGCGUGCUGCAAACAGAUACGUCUUGCGACACUGUUGGUCACGCGACUUGACUUUUGCAAUACCUUAAGGCUCAAAGGGCUCGUUAAACUUUGCUACAUCACGCAAUUUCUUAUUGGCCGGGUUUGUAUCGUAGCCUCUUAAAUCGUUAUCCGUGACGUUUUCAGAAAGAUUGCUCGUCGUA